This 300-nucleotide ribosomal RNA is filed under the name uncultured Butyricimonas sp. RNAcentral describes it as "bacterial SSU rRNA". It matches the Rfam family "Bacterial small subunit ribosomal RNA", at positions 496 to 795 of the family's 1533-position model. Lineage: Bacteria; Pseudomonadati; Bacteroidota; Bacteroidia; Bacteroidales; Odoribacteraceae. The record is from RNAcentral.
GGUAAGUGUGAGCCAGCAGCGGGUGAAAUACGGAGAGGGCAAGCGUUAAUCGGAAGUACUGGGCGUAAAGCGCACGCAGGCGGUCAAUUAAGUCAGAUGUGAAAGCCCCGAGCUGAACUUGGGAAUUGCAUCUGAAACUGGUUGGCUAGAGUCUUGUAGAGGGGGGUAGAAUUCCGCGUGUAGCGGUGAAAUGCGUAGAGAUGUGGAGGAAUACCGGUGGCGAAGGCGGCCCCCUGGACAAAGACUGACGCUCAGGUGCGAAAGCGUGGGGAGCAAACAGGAUUAGAUACCCCGGUAGUC